This 686-nucleotide ribosomal RNA is filed under the name uncultured bacterium. Its description in RNAcentral is "bacterial SSU rRNA". It matches the Rfam family "Bacterial small subunit ribosomal RNA", at positions 8 to 675 of the family's 1533-position model. The record is from RNAcentral.
AGAGUUUGAUCCUGGCUCAGAUUGAACGCUGGCGGCGUGCUUAACACAUGCAAGUCGAACGUGAAAGUCCUUCGGGGCGAGUAAAGUGGCGCACGGGUGAGUAACGCGUGGAUAAUCUACCCUUAAGAUGGGGAUAACGGCUGGAAACGGUCGCUAAUACCGAAUACGCUCCCGAUUUUAUCAUUGGGGGGAAAGAUGGCCUCUGCUUGCAAGCUAUCGCUUAAGGAUGAGUCCGCGUCCCAUUAGCUAGUUGGCGGGGUAACGGCCCACCAAGGCAACGAUGGGUAGCCGGUCUGAGAGGAUGACCGGCCACACUGGAACUGGAACACGGUCCAGACUCCUACGGGAGGCAGCAGUGGGGAAUAUUGCGCAAUGGGCGAAAGCCUGACGCAGCGACGCCGCGUGAGGGAUGAAGGUUCUCGGAUCGUAAACCUCUGUCAGGGGGGAAGAAACCCCCUCGUGUGAAUAAUGCGAGGGCUUGACGGUACCCCCAAAGGAAGCACCGGCUAACUCCGUGCCAGCAGCCGCGGUAAUACGGAGGGUGCAAGCGUUAAUCGGAAUCACUGGGCGUAAAGCGCACGUAGGCGGCUUGGUAAGUCAGGGGUGAAAUCCCACAGCCCAACUGUGGAACUGCCUUUGAUACUGCCAGGCUUGAGUACCGGAGAGGGUUGGCGGAAUUCCCGGUG